This 258-nucleotide ribosomal RNA is filed under the name uncultured bacterium. Its description in RNAcentral is "partial 16S ribosomal RNA". It matches the Rfam family "Bacterial small subunit ribosomal RNA", at positions 524 to 776 of the family's 1533-position model. The record is from RNAcentral.
UACGAAGGGGGGCUAGCGUUGUUCGGAAUCACUGGGCGUAAAGGGCGCGUAGGCGGACUUUUAAGUCAGGGGGUGAAAUCCUGGAGCUCAACUCCAGAACUGCCUUUGAUACUGAAGAUCUUGAGUUCGGGGAGAGGUGAGUGGAACUGCGAGUGUAGAGGUGAAAUUCGUAGAUAUUCGCAAGAACACCAGUGGCGAAGGCGGCUCACUGGCCCGAUACUGACGCUGAGGCACGAAAAGCGUGGGGGAGCAAACAGG